This 495-nucleotide ribosomal RNA is filed under the name uncultured bacterium. RNAcentral describes it as "partial 16S ribosomal RNA". It matches the Rfam family "Bacterial small subunit ribosomal RNA", at positions 28 to 507 of the family's 1533-position model. The record is from RNAcentral.
GAUGAACGCUGGCGGCGUGCCUAAUACAUGCAAGUAGAACGCUGAAGGAGGAGCUUGCUCUUCUGGAUGAGUUGCGAACGGGUGAGUAACGCGUAGGUAACCUGCCUGGUAGCGGGGGAUAACUAUUGGAAACGAUAGCUAAUACCGCAUGACAACAGUUAUUGCAUGAUAACUGUUUAAAAGGGGCAACUGCUCCACUACCAGAUGGACCUGCGUUGUAUUAGCUAGUUGGUGAGGUAACGGCUCACCAAGGCGACGAUACAUAGCCGACCUUAGAGGGUGAUCGGCCACACUGGGACUGAGACACGGCCCAGACUCCUACGGGAGGCAGCAGUAGGGAAUCUUCGGCAAUGGACGGAAGUCUGACCGAGCAACGCCGCGUGAGUGAAGAAGGGUUUCGGAUCGUAAAGCUCUGUUGCAAGAGAAGAACGAGUGUGAGAGUGGAAAGUUCACACUGUGACGGUAUCUGACCAGAAAGGGACGGCUAACUACGUG